GACGAACGCUGGCGGCGUGCUUAACACAUGCAAGUCGAGCGGUAAGGCCCUUCGGGUACGACGAGCGGCGAACGGGUGAGUAACACGUGGGUGACCUGCCUCUAGCUCUGGGAUAAGCCUGGGAAACUGGGUCUAAUACCGGAUAUGACUCCACGGCGCAUGUUGUGGGGUGGAAAGCCUUGUGUGGCUAGAGAUGGGCCCGCGGCCUAUCAGCUUGUUGGUGGGGUGAUGGCUACCAAGGCGACGACGGGUAGCCGGCCUGAGAGGGCGACCGGCCACACUGGGACUGAGACACGGCCCAGACUCCUACGGGAGGGCAGCAGUGGGGAAUCUUGCGCAAUGGGCGAAAGCCUGACGCAGCGACGCCGCGUGAGGGAUGACGGCCUCGGUGUAAC
This 395-nucleotide ribosomal RNA is filed under the name uncultured bacterium. Its description in RNAcentral is "bacterial SSU rRNA". It matches the Rfam family "Bacterial small subunit ribosomal RNA", at positions 28 to 429 of the family's 1533-position model. The record is from RNAcentral.